UACGUAGGGUGCAAGCGUUGUCCGGAAUUAUUGGGCGCAAAGAGCUCGUAGGCGGUUUGUCGCGUCUGCUGUGAAAACUCGGGGCUUAACUCCGGGCCUGCAGUGGGUACGGGCAGACUAGAGUGCGGUAGGGGAGACUGGAAUUCCUGGUGUAGCGGUGGAAUGCGCAGAUAUCAGGAGGAACACCGGUGGCGAAGGCGGGUCUCUGGGCAGUAACUGACGCUGAGGAGCGAAAGCGUGGGGAGCGAACAGG
This 253-nucleotide ribosomal RNA is filed under the name uncultured bacterium. RNAcentral describes it as "partial 16S ribosomal RNA". It matches the Rfam family "Bacterial small subunit ribosomal RNA", at positions 524 to 776 of the family's 1533-position model. The record is from RNAcentral.